This 185-nucleotide ribosomal RNA is filed under the name uncultured bacterium. Its description in RNAcentral is "partial 16S ribosomal RNA". It matches the Rfam family "Bacterial small subunit ribosomal RNA", at positions 1308 to 1500 of the family's 1533-position model. The record is from RNAcentral.
AAACUCGCCUACAUGAAGCUGGAGUUGCUAGUAAUCGCGCAUCAGCCACGGCGCGGUGAAUACGUUCCCGGGCCUUGUACACACCGCCCGUCAAGCCAUGGGAGCCGGGGGUACCUGAAGUACGUAACCGCAAGGAGCGUCCUAGGGUAAAACUGGUGACUGGGGCUAAGUCGUAACAAGGUAUC